CAUGUCCUCAUUGUUGAUUGAUGAUGUAGUGCCAUGUUCAAAGUACGCCUGACAUACUCAUAUGCCUUGGCUGAAUAGAACUGCAGGCACGAGAUCAAGCUGUACAUCGGAGGGCGAGCCACGGAGCAUGUCACUGCACUGUGCUGACACAAGAGAUUUGUCCCGAAGGUCACUCAUUAUGCCUUCCACAAGCCUCAAGUGUUACGUUGGCCUUUCGCUUGAGUGUGCGUGGACUGUCUCGUACCACAUAGCUGUGGUCUGCAGCAGGGUCAUGUGGUCGUGUAGCCGGUUGUGAUGACGUCCCUGGCUGUGCAACCUCGUUGACUUCCUCCGACUCCACAUUGCAUCUAAUUGGGGGGACCCUCCUUGGUUGCACGGUCUGUGUGAAAAUGUAAGGACAGAUAUUGCAAAAUGUUUGUGUUCGUCAGUUAUCCUAAGCAGGGAGAAUAAAGA
Long non-coding RNA from Ornithodoros turicata, 453 nucleotides. RefSeq lists it as uncharacterized. The transcript has 3 exons. Lineage: Eukaryota; Metazoa; Arthropoda; Arachnida; Ixodida; Argasidae. The record is from RefSeq and is a predicted model, not a curated record.